AAUGUGUGCUGCGGAAAAAGUGGUAGGGAGUUUGAAGAUUCGUGGAAUUUCGUGAUAUGCUACUACGUAUUUAAAAUAAUUCCUUAUGUUUUAUAUUUAAUUUUUGAUAAAUUAAUCUUUCAUUUUUAUCCCUUAAGUUUAAUUCAUUCCAAGGAGUAACAUAAGUUAACAGUAUUUUCAUUUAUUUUUUCUUACGUUUUUUCAUAUGCAUACGCGUGAAAUGUGAUACAUCAAAUGCUAAUGGUUUUGCUAAGAUCAAGAAAAUAAUUAUAAUAACACUCUUAGAAACAGUUAUCUUUUAAUGUGUGAAUUGAAGCAUAGUUAAAUUAUUCGAUAUCUCAUUAAUAAUCAUGGAUAAAUUGAGAAGAGCUUUGAGCGGUAAAGAGGAGUGCGAUGAAGAAAGUGGUAUCAUUGCACAGGCUGAUGUUAAUUUCGUGGUUAUGGAUCAAACAACACUGAGUUGGUCAACACGCAUAAAAGGUUUCGCUAUUUGUUUUGUCAUAGGCAUUCUUUGUUCUUUUCUUGGAUCAUUUGCCUUAUUUUUAAGAAGAGGACUCACAAUAUUUGCGAUAUUUUACACAUUAGGAAAUAUCAUUUCACUAGCAAGUACUUGUUUUUUGAUGGGUCCUGUAAAUCAAUUUAAAAAAAUGUUUGCUGCGACAAGAAUUAUUGCUACUAUUUUAGUAUUCGUAUCAAUUGGUAUGACAUUAUUUGCAGCUUUACACUUAAACAAUCCUGGUUUGGCUCUUAUAUUUAUCAUUAUUCAAUCUAUAGCAAUGACUUGGUAUUCCUUAUCAUAUAUACCAUAUGCACGAGAUGCUGUAAAGAAAACUGUUGAAUCUUGUAUAACGUAAACAUAUAUCGUUUGGAAAAAAAAAGAAAUAUUGAAUACCAUUGUAUUAAUCAUAUUUAUAAAAAUCUAAAACUUUUGUACAUAUUCUUUGAGUGUAUCAUGUUUGAUAUAUUUUUAAAAAUCAGAAUGCUGUUAUAUAAGAAUUAUUCUCUCUUGGACAUGAAAAUAUAUAGUCUAUAAAAAUACAUUGAAAAUUUUUCGAGUGAUUUCAAGUUCAAAUCUCUCUAUUAUUUACGUAUAUUAAAUAUUUAAUUUGUUUAAAUUGCAGUAUUAAUUUAAUAUUAUGAAGUUAAAAAAGGGGAAAAAAUAUCAAUUAAAAUUGAAACGGCGUUUUCCAUCAAAUCGAAAACCAUAAGCGGCACUAUUAGGUGCAUCGACUAAAGCUGGAUUUCUGUAAAGAUGAAAUGUUCCAUGAAGGUGUGCUGGUCUCGCAGCAUUUUGUUCUUCAGCUUCUUUUCCCUUUAAAUAAAAUGCUUCAAAUUGACCACCA
RNAcentral lists this unclassified non-coding RNA (1343 nucleotides) under Polistes fuscatus (common paper wasp). RNAcentral's name for it is "vesicle transport protein SFT2A, transcript variant X1". Lineage: Eukaryota; Metazoa; Arthropoda; Insecta; Hymenoptera; Vespidae. The record is from RNAcentral.